GACUCCAAAGGUCUACCGAUUUCCAGUAAACUGUUUCUGAGAGGAAUGAUCAGUUCACCCUGGACUGAGACCGGUUGCAGACUCCUACGGAGGCAGCAGUGAGGAAUAUUGGGCAUGCUCGAAAGAGUGACCCAGCAUCGCCGCGUGGAGGAUGAGUAUUCUAUAUCGUAAACUCCUGUGAGAGCAGACGAAAGACAGAUAUAUCUGGAUGACUGUAUGCUCAGAGGAAGCCCCGGCUAACUACGUGCCAGCAGCCGCGGUAAUACGUAGGGGGCUAGCGUUGUCCGGAUUCACUGGGUGUAAAGGGCGCGUAGGCGGGAUAGCAAGUCAGUGGUGAAAUCUUGCAGCUCAACUGCAAAACUGCCAUUGAUACUGCUGUUCUUGAAUGUGGAAGGGAGAGGCGGAAUUCCAGGUGUAGUAGUGAAAUACGUAGAUAUCUGGAAGAACACCAAUUGCGAAGGCUGCUUCUUGGUCCAUUAUUGACGCUGAGGCGCGAAAGCGUGGGGAGCAAACAGGAUUAGAUACCCUGGUAGUCCACGCUGUAAACGAUGAGUGCUAGAUGCCGGAUUUUUUCGGUGUCGCAGCUAACGCAUUAAGCACUCCACCUGGGAAGUACGAUCGCAAGGUUGAAACUCAAAGGAAUUGACGGGGGCCCGCACAAGCAGUGGAGCAUGUGGUUUAAUUCGAUGCAACGCGAAGAACCUUACCUAGGCUUGAAAAGCUUAUGACCGGCUGUGAAAGCAGCUUUCCCGCAAGGGCAUAAGUACAGGUGCUGCAUGGCUGUCGUCAGCUCGUGCCGUGAGGUGUUGGGUUAAGUCCCGCAACGAGCGCAACCCUUACCAUUAGUUGCCACCGGAGCAAUCCGAGCACUCUAAUGGAACUGCCUACGCAAGUAGUGAGGAAGGUGAGGAUGACGUCAAGUCCGCAUGGCCCUUACGCCUAGGGCUACACACGUGCUACAAUGGCCGCCACAACGGGCAGCAAAAUCGCGAGAUGGAGCGAAUCCCUAAAAAGCGGCCUCAGUUCGGAUUGGAGUCUGCAACUCGACUCCAUGAAGUUGGAAUUGCUAGUAAUCGCGUAUCAGCAUGACGCGGUGAAUACGUUCCCGGGCCUUGUACACACCGCCCGUCAAGCCAUGGAAGCCGGGGGUACCCAAAGAUAGUGACUCAACCGCAAGGAGAGAGCUAUUUAAGGUAAAACUGGUGACUGGGGCUAAGUCGUAACAAGGUAGC
This 1232-nucleotide ribosomal RNA is filed under the name denitrifying bacterium enrichment culture clone NOB_2_F10. RNAcentral describes it as "bacterial SSU rRNA". It matches the Rfam family "Bacterial small subunit ribosomal RNA", at positions 254 to 1500 of the family's 1533-position model. The record is from RNAcentral.